RNAcentral lists this ribosomal RNA (495 nucleotides) under uncultured bacterium. RNAcentral describes it as "partial 16S ribosomal RNA". It matches the Rfam family "Bacterial small subunit ribosomal RNA", at positions 28 to 507 of the family's 1533-position model. The record is from RNAcentral.
GACGAACGCUGGCGGCGUGCCUAAUACAUGCAAGUAGAACGCUGAAGGAGGAGCUUGCUCUUCUGGAUGAGCUGCGAACGGGUGAGUAACGCGUAGGUAACCUGCCUGGUAGCGGGGGAUAACUAUUGGAAACGAUAGCUAAUACCGCAUAACAGUAGAUGUUGCAUGACAUUUACUUAAAAGGUGCAAUUGCAUCACUACCAGAUGGACCUGCGUUGUAUUAGCUAGUUGGUGGGGUAACGGCUCACCAAGGCGACGAUACAUAGCCGACCUGAGAGGGUGAUCGGCCACACUGGGACUGAGACACGGCCCAGACUCCUACGGGAGGCAGCAGUAGGGAAUCUUCGGCAAUGGACGGAAGUCUGACCGAGCAACGCCGCGUGAGUGAAGAAGGUUUUCGGAUCGUAAAGCUCGGUUGUAAGAGAAGAACGAGUGUGAGAGUGGAAAGUUCACACUGUGACGGUAUCUUACCAGAAAGGGACGGCUAACUACGUG